This 116-nucleotide ribosomal RNA is filed under the name uncultured bacterium. RNAcentral's name for it is "partial 16S ribosomal RNA". It matches the Rfam family "Bacterial small subunit ribosomal RNA", at positions 1367 to 1482 of the family's 1533-position model. The record is from RNAcentral.
UACGUUCCCGGGUCUUGUACACACCGCCCGUCACACCAUGGGAGCGGGUUUUACCUGAAGUAGGUAGCUUAACCGUAAGGAGGGCGCUUACCACGGUAGGAUUCGUGACUGGGGUG